Molecule: non-coding RNA, 18923 nt
Organism: Rattus norvegicus (Norway rat)
Lineage: Eukaryota; Metazoa; Chordata; Mammalia; Rodentia; Muridae
Source: RefSeq, a predicted model, not a curated record
UCGGCCAUGACCAUGGGCUUUAAACCACUCGACCACCUCCUGCAGGUCAAACGGCUGAGGUGCAUAGCCUAGCUCACUCUUGGCUUUCUCUAGGCUGAAGUAAUGUGUGACACCAGUUUUAUAAACCUCGGUGCAGUUGCUCCCUCCCAGACAUGCCGUAAGAGGCGAUGUGGAAGACGCAUGCGAUGUCAGCAUCCUGGAAGGCCGCCUCCACGUCAGAGAGGCAGCGGAUAUCCCCGCGGACGAAUGUGAUUCCCUCUGGAAGGUUCUGGGCCGGUUCGAUGAUGUCGAACAGAAUCACACGGACUCCUUUCUGGUUCAGAGCGCAGCCGAGGCUGAGUUUUCAAGCCUGAGCAGUGAGCACCGGAGUUCACUUUUGUUUUGAAACUAUAUAAACUUGUACGUGUAUCUAAGCACCGGAAUAGAAAACUAUCCAGUAGAAGAAUUCCGUGAGGGUAUUUUGUAGAUGAACUGACCGGAAGCCAAAAUAUCCUCCUCCUCCGGUAAUGAGGACGGUUUCCUCCGGGAACCUUGGGGAGUCCAUACGAGACAGUGAAAGGACAACUGGACCUGCAGGAGGAUAACACAGCAUUAUGACAUGCUGUAUAAACAUGUUUCAGCUUCGUGAACAAGAAGAAAAAGGUGGCCGGCCUGCUGCUCGGUGGUAGCACAUGUACCCAGCAGAUAUGAAACUCUGGUUUUGGGACCAGCACGGAGAAACCCAAACCAAACAACAGAAUACCUUAGUGCAGGCGAUUCUCUGAGACGAGUGGCUCCGCUCACAGGUCUGCACUUUAGCCACACCCCCUUACUCCGUGGCUUCGGAUUUCAUCCUGUGUAAUGUUAACAUAGACGUGCCUUCCUUGCCUACGCUACAAAGUUAAUGUGAAGGUUGAGUAAAUACAGAUAUGAGGCGUUCCUGUGGAUUUUUGGAACUGAUCGGGGCUUUUGGGAAGAAUCACUUUGAAGCUGUUUGAGAGGAGGGUUUUCUCCCGCGCAUCAGAAACCCCAAGGUAGAACUCUGCAGAAGCUUCCGCAUCUACAGUGCGCUUUGUGCGUGGUUGUUUUGUUAACCCCAUGCUUAAAAAUAGGAAAAUACCUUUCUGUAGCAAAUCAUGCCCUCUAUCCUAGAUACCUUGUGAGUGCUUCAAGGGAGUGUACUUGGGGCAUUUGACAGGGUGGGUGCCUUGCUUCUGUCUCCCUCCUCAUUUGCUUACUCUGCAGCAGAUUCGUCUCAAGGCCUCAGUACUAUUUUCUCUCAAGAACGGAACAAACAGAAAUGGGGUAGAGAACUCAUUCCGCACAGCAGAGAAAUGGACCCAGAGGUACACAGUAAUCAAGACCGCAGCCACUGCCCCUUCCCAACCACCCGCCAUGACUCUGUUUUGAACAAGGAAGAAUGUGAUCCAGGUGCUCAUGGAGCGGCAUGGCCUGGGGCAGCCCGGGAGGAAGGGCGCAUGUGCGAAGAGCCACGUGACGUGAGCGCACGAACCAAGAUGAGAACAGUAGUAACUCAAGGGUGUAUGGGGCAGCUAGGGACAUGGGGCAGGCGCAUUAGCCUCGAGAUGGUUUUGUGAGCUUGUCUGGGACACUUUGCUUUCUCGAAACCUUACUUUCCUGUAAGCUGUGUGCUGUUCUAUUUCAGGACGUCUCUGUGCUUCUAGAAAAGCUGCAGUGUACAGCGGAAAGAGAGAGGACAGAUGUGCUGUGGUGCACACCACGAGUGUCACACAGCUUACAGGGCACUUUAUGUGCACGUGAACUACAAAAACAGCACUGUCAUCACCCUGUUUUUCCAGCCAAGAGUAAAUAACUCUCCCAACGGAUAGGCGAUAACCAUGAGCCCAUACUCUUUUUUUUUUUUUUUGGUUCUUUUUUUUCGGAGCUGGGGACCGAACCCAGGGCCUUGCGCUUCCUAGGUAAGCGCUCUACCACUGAGCUAAAUCCCCAGCCCCGAGCCCAUACUCUUAACUCCUGAAACAGGGUCUUUGAGGAAAGAGAACAGGCACCUGGGUUCUUUUUAGUUGUGUAACUUUGGGUCAAUAAAUUGCUCUGAGCCUGUGGGGCCAUCAGAAAGUUGAGCCAUGGACAAGCUCGAAAGUUUAUAAAGAUAUGGUGGGAUAGUGUAGACAAAACCUCCCAGACACACAACAUGGUAUGGUUGCCCCACAGGUGCUGUUUUUCAGGUCCUUUCUUUCAAACUCUGAUGUGUAUCAAUGCAGUAUUUCCUGUACAGCCACGAUUAGAGCUCUGGAGACGCAGGGUAACAGAGAUCAACAUGUUCUAGAAAUCUGUGCAGCGUGUCUCUAGCCGGUGAGGCUAAGUGAAUCACUCACAGAGAGUCCCAACUGUAGAUAAGGCUCACCCAUAGUCUCAGAGGUGUAAGGCGACAAGGAACAGCAACAAGAACCAUUCAGAAAACUGGGCAAAAUGGUGUGGAGGUUGGCAGCUGGGUCCCAUGAAGCAAGUGUCAUCAUUAUGCUACAAGAAAAUCUGUGAAGACCAAGACAUGAGCACUUCUUUACUAUAUCAAAUGCUGACCUUAGAACAGUAUAUGUGUCUGUGCAUAUACAUAUAUGUAUGUAUGGGUUUUUAUGUGUAUGAGAGUUUUUCCUUUCGUAUUCAUGUAUACAUGGGCAUGAAGUACCUGAGGGUCAAAUGCCCUUGGAUAGGAGUUACAGUUGUGAGCUGCCAUGUAGGGGCUGGGAAUCGAACCCUGGUCCUCUGGAAGAGCAGCCAGUGCUCUUAACCUCUGAGCCAUCUUAUCUUUUGCACUGCUUGAGUUUGAACGCAACCCUCGCACAUGCGAGGCCUGUGCUGUGCCACCAAGUCACAUCCCAGUCCUGUUUUCUGAAAACAGAAUGCUAGCACUUGGAACUGGAGUGGCCAUGAAAGCAAAUGUCGCUCGUGCUGGGGACUACAGACUGAUAUUUCCAGACUCCUGACUUCAUCCCAUGACUUGUCUCAACCAUGACCUUCUCAAUCCCAUGACCCUCUGCUACCUAUGCUUCCUGGUUGAGUCAUGUGGAUUCUCUCUUCUCCGCCACAUGACAGGCUCUCGGGUGUACCCUGUUCUUAGCACAGUGUGACCCAUGGCUCCUCCUGGUCCGGGCCAGGUGUAGCUUCCUCAGGAGUAAGGUUUUCCUCAGAAAGGCCUCACGACACCUCAGUUCUCCUUACCCUACAGUUGCCCUGCCUUUUUCAAGGCAGUCUCCAUGUCUGUGUGCCUUCAAAUUGCUGUGCCCCUUUCCCAGAAUGGAAAUUCCAUGGAAAAGGGGUCUUUCCCUUUCCCACAGGGGUAUUCCUUCACCGAACUCAGAAACUGACCGAUUCCCAAGAAAUAUUUGCCCUGAUAAUUCUUAUCCACCCAAAACAUAGCCAGUUUAGUAAAAUGGUGACAGACGCAGGCAAGCAGGGCCCUGAGGUAUCAAAUGGCAUUAUCAUCCAUGCUGUUCAAUGCUCCCAUUUUUAACCUAACUUCCUGGAGAGUGUCAAGUUACAGAAUGGGACAGAUGCCAGGCUCUGUGACACAGGGCGCUGGCGCUGGGGCACUCACUAUGGGGAGAGACUUCUGCUGGUCAUCUAAAGGACAAGACAGGGACCUGAGGAUUCUCAGGAGGAGAGCUCGAUUUUGACUCGUAGCUGCAGGAGUGUAAAUCUGAGGCCGGUUGGCUCUGUUGUUCUGGAGCCCAUGAUGGACCAAAGCAUCUGCUGGGGAGCGCAGAGGCUCCCCGCAUGGCGGAUGAAGGCAAAGCAAGAGAGGAGGGCUUCGAAGUUCCUCAAAGGAUGUACCCCCUGUAGGAUGAUGUCAUUACGCAGGCGAAGGCGGGUACAAGAUAGAACGAGGCCUGUCAUUGGACGAGAAGGAAGGAUGGGCGGGAGAAAAGUUUGAGAGGAAGAGGCUGGAGCGAGUGGGGAGAAGCAGCAGAGAGAACAUGGAGGCUGACGUUAAGAGUCCUCUCUGCACACUUACAGGUCGUUAUGAAUGUUCUUAAGGGAUGGGUGUGUGCAGGGCUUUGUGUGUCUAGAUGAGCAAAUUAUGUAUUAUCAAUUGGCUCAGAGGUUAUUGUGUUGUGUGUUCUCUCAUGUGGCGAUUUAAGUUCAAGAGAGCGUGUGGUGGCUGGAGACAUGUGUACGUCUGGCGUGGUGGCAACCUGCCUUGGGAACUAGAUGGGUAGAGAGAUUGUUGCCAGGCUCAGAGAGAAGCCAUCGGCAGUGUGAUAUGGGAUGGGGCAGAGCGGGUGAGACGCUUUGCUGACUGAGAUGAAGACAUCCAACAGAUGUCUUGGGGCACUGCGGUGCCGGACCUAGUGUGGGAUAAAAGACAGCUUUUUUUUUUUUUUUUUUUUUUUUGUAUUAUUUUACAGCAACAGCCCUCAAUGACCUAACUUCCUUCCUCUGGGUACCACCUCCCAAAGGUUUGCCCACUUUCCUUCUUACCAUGGUGCCAGAGGUGGGCUGGAGCCUAAAGUACAUUGGACAAUGAAAACGUAUAAGAUCAACUGUGAAACAAAAUUACUUUUCCUGGGAGAUACAAGCAGAGUGCUGCAGGAACACAGAAGGUGGGGGCUGAUUCUGACCCCAGGCAGGGAACUCUGCAUGGAAGGGGAAGCUCAGAGCUGAGUUUGGACCACAGGAAGAUUCAGGAAGACUCACAUGAAGUGGAGGGUUUGUACAGGCUUGGGUCACAUCACAAAUAGAUUGAAGGGUCACUGGGGAGGCUAUACUAGACCAGUGAUGUGGGGACUCCAUGUAGCUGGGAUGUGACCAAAGGCUAUCAUGUCCAAAUAUACUUGGGGAAGGAGGCACGUUGAAAUUGGCAUAGAAACUGUCUGGAGUUCCCUUCUGAGAAUCUGAACUCCAUCCUGUAGAUAAUCGGAAACUUGGUUUUUGGCAGAGUAUCCAUGCUUUCUGAUAAAGAGUGGGCUUCUACUGAGGAAAGGAAGAGGCUUGGAACAGAGUCCAGGCAAGAGGUGACAAGGGGCUACAUUGGGGGGGUGUUGGUAAGAGCUAAGGACCAGCACACUCAGCUGGGACUAAGGAGAUGAGAUGGAAAGACAUUGAGGUCAUGGCAGGUAGCACAAAGGAGAAACUGGAGGAAGGUGAUGGUUCUGACAGAGGGAUGCUGGAAAUUACACAACUUGUAGGAAGAACUACGACCAUGGGGCCUGGGGGAAUGCUCAGUUGGUAAAGUGCUAGUCUAGCAAGCACAGGAACUCGAGUAUAUCUAGACCUCAUGUAAAAAAAAAAUAGUUGGGCGUCGUGGCGUGUACCUGUGAUGCCAGGGCUGGGGAGGUGGAGAGAACAUCUACGGGGCUCUCUUGUCAGUCAGCCUUGGUUAAUUGUUGCUCUCCAGAUCCUGGUAAUAGAUCCUGCCUUAAAAUAAACUAAUGUGAAUGGUACCUGAAGAAUGACACCCAAGGACAGGCAGACAGGCAGGCAGGCAGGCAGGCAGGCACACAUGCACGCACACAGGCAUUGUGGCAAACGCGAUGCCAGAUAACACAGUUCAAACUAUUUUCUAUAUCCCCGUAGAACACCACUGAGAGGGGCCCAAGCAUAGGUAAGGCUAAUUAAAAACUUAUGACAGAGAAACAUUCGGGAUUGUUCUUUGCUUUCGUAACCACACAUUCCAGUUCAGUCGGAAGGCUGGUUGGUCAGGAAGGUCCAGUCACGAGCAGACUCAGAAACUUGCCAGGCCUAUUAGAUGUUACCCCUUGUUACCUUCCAGCUAGUUCCAGAGUUCUGAGGCAAGAACUCGCUGAAUUGAUCUAUGGGAGGGCCAAGAUACAAAGGUUAAAAACAUUUGUAAUUUAGCAAGACAAACACCACUGGAAACAAAGCUUGCCCUCCAGGUCUAGAAAGUCUUCUGAGGUCAGGAGCCACAAAGUGGGGGGCCUAGAAGCCACCUCACCCAUAACAACAAUAAGAACAUUAAAAAACAGAGAGGGGGAGGGACUAGCAGUAAGAGUUUGCUACGCAAGUAUGAAGAUCUGAGUUCCAAGUUCAGAUCCCCAGCACCCACCCAAAAGCCAGGCAUGGUUGAAUGUGUCUGUAAGCCCAGUAUCAGGAGGCAAGAGACGGACGGAUUCCUGGUGCUCAAGGCCAGCCAGUCUAGCUGAAAAAGGGAACUUCACAUCCAGUAAAAAGGCUGUGUCUCAGAAGAGGGUGGAGAGUAGUGGAUACUGGACCCCUUCUGGUUUUCAUAUGCACGUGCAUGAGCACACACCCAUACCCACACAUGCACACACACCGAAAUCAGAGAGAGAGAGAGAGAGAAAGGAGGAGGAGGAGGAGGAGGAGGAGGAGGAGGAGGAGGAGGAGGAGGAGGAGAAAGAAGAAGAGGAGGAGGAAGGGAAGGAGGGAAGGAGGGAGGGAGGGAAGGAGGGAAGGAGGGAAGGAGGGAGGGAGGGAAGGAGGGAAGGAGGGAGGGAGGGAAGGAGGGAAGGAGGGAGGGAGGGAAGGAGGGAGGGAGGGAAGGGAAGGAGAGAGAGAGAGAGAGAGAGAGAGAGAGAGAGAGAGAGAGAGAGAGAGAGAUCUUAGCAAAAACAGUCUACAGAAAACCCAGGAAAUCCCCUUGAGAGAUAAGUCAGGUGGAGAAAGAGUGUAUAGCUUCUCUCCAUCCUCCCUAUUCUUAGGACUUCUGUUUAAUCGUUAACUUCCAUCUGACUCCUUCCUCCUGGGGUCACGCUGUAUCAUUGCAACUGCUUGGAGGCUCUUCCAAAAUGUAGCUUUGCUCAGUAAUUGCAUUUCUGUUGGGAUGGGCAGAGGCAGCAUCCGACCCGAGCUGUCAUUUUCUCAGAAACAGGUUAAUGCUAAGCACAUGAUUAAGGAAAAGGAAUCUUAAUUACAAACAGGAGGCAGAAAGAGAGACGUUUCAAAUCUGCCUGACCAAGAGAGAGUUUCAAAUCUCGAUAAUGCUAAGGUAAAGCAAGGCUAACAGUUGCCAUCCCACAGGGAGUUAGAGAUACACAGUGAUGAAAUAUGCCCCGGAGUAUUUUCGAUUUACAAAGACCUAAUUAAAUCUAAGGAUCAGCAAUAAAAACCAGAGAUUAUGCACACUGUUCUUCCAGCCCCAUGGUUCAAAGCCACGAGGCCGCUUGCCCUCUGGCACCUCACCUCAGUCAGACAAGGAGGCACAAUUAGCAUUUGGCCAACAGCAGCUAAAGCAGAAAGAGUUUAAGAUGUCCUAAUGGCUAGAUAUUUUGUUUUUUUGUAGUGCUGGGGAGGGACCCCAGGGACUUGUAUGCUAGGCAAAAAUUCUACCACUGAACUAAGUUGCCUUGCAUGCUAAAAAACAAGACAAAACAAACAAACAAACAAAAAACCUGGCUAGCAACAGGAACUGGGCUGGAGAUGAAGUUCAGUAGGUAGAGGCUGAUCUAACAGGGAGCUCCAGAUUCCCUUCUCCAGUAAUGCAUAAACUGGGCAUAGCAGUGCAAACCUGAAAUUCCUGCUCUCAGGUAGUAGAGGCAGGAGACUCCAGCUAGAGAGUUCAAAGCCAGAAUGUUAAACAACAGCACCCCUCCCAAAACAAAAACAAAAUCUGUGCUUUCAUACAGAUAAAACAUCUAUCUACCUGUCACCCCAGAACCCGGGAGUCAGAGACAGGAGAUUCACUGGUUCAAGUUCAUCCCAGGGUACAGUGAAACUGUCAUCACCUUAUAUGAGUCAGGUCUUCUUGCCCAGUCCCCCCCCCCUCUCUCUCUCACACACACACACACACACACACACUAACACACACAAAGCACUUGUAAUUCUUUGACAGUGCUAACAAUCAGGGAAUGAAAUGGAGUGGUUUUUCUUCUCGUAUUUGUGUUUCAAAUAGUCCUCGCCCUCUCGGCUAUUCGAGUGCCUCCUUUUGUCUUGAAGUUAGCAUGCAAGCCACUCUAUCCUACCUUAGCGGUGUCUCUUGUCACUUCCUAAGCCCUUAAUGUGUCAGGCACUACGCUACAGCUACAGCUACAGCGUGUUUAUAAAUUAUGUCACCGAAUGAUCAUCGCUUCCCUAAAGAGACAGCGUUAUUUCAGAGCUCACCCUUAGCUUACCCUCAGCUACCCUUCUCCUCUUCUUCCUCUUCUUCCUCCCCUCCUUCUCCUCCUCCUUCCCCUUCUCCACUUUUUUAUUUUAUUUUUAUUUUUUUAUUUUUAUUUUAUGCACGUGCAUGCACAUGUCUAGGUGAGUGCAUGCUGGGUAUGUGCAGGUGUCCACCAGAGCCAGAACGGGGGCAUUGGGUCCCCUACAUCUGGAGUUUCAGGGGGUGUGAACCACUGAACAUAGGUUUUGGGAACUGAACCCAGGUCCUUUGGAGGCUGAACCAUCUCUUUCCAGGCCCAGCCAUUUGUUGUAGUUCUAGUUUGUUUUGAGACAGGGUCUCUCACUGCCUGGAUUUAUUGAUUUGGCUCAGCUAGCUAGGCAGUGGGUCCCCAGAGAUCCAUUUGACUCCACCUUCCCAGGGCUAGGAUUUCACAUCUCUGCCCCUGUAGCCAGCAUCCAUUUCAUGCUUGCACGGCAAACACUCUAUAGCAAGUGGCGAGCCAUCUUCCCAUCCCUGCAAACAUUUUUAUAGUCAUCAUUACCCAUUUGUUUUUUUCAAAUUACCAUGGAAACUCUAUGUGAAUGUUGACUCCUUCCCUUGAACUGUCUUCAGGGACAAAGAAUACCUAGUAGACUACAGCCUAGUGAUCUGGGUGGGAUGAGCCCUCCACAGAUUUCCAAACCACCGUCGCCGUCUCUGCUACUCUCCUGUCGCCUUCUGUCUCGAAGUCAGCACGCCUGCCCCUCCAUUCUACCACAGUGGUGUCUCCUGCCAUUUCAUAAGUGCCAGGCGCUGCGUUACAACGUGUUCAUAAAUUAUGACACCUAAAGAGACCGUGGUGAUCCAUGGGUCCUGUUUUGCAAGUGAAUAAACUCAGGCCCAGAGACAGAAUGAUCAACAACUCCAUGUCCCAUAGAUGGUGAGUGGAUACAGGGUUCUAUGUAUCCACUGGGCCAAGGGACACCUGACUCCAUCAUUCAUGUCCUAACCACAGCAAUCCCGGAGGGCAGGGCAGAGUCUGUGACCUGAAGCAAUAGUCAUGGAGUGAACAUAGAUCUGGAUUGUGUACGAUUUCACAACCAGAACAUUCUGCAAUGGCUCAGGAAGGCAAAGGAGGAGCUUCCUUAUCUAUUCCCAUGAGGCAGUGGGGUGUGUGCAGCAUUACAAUUUUUAUAUUGGGAAUCAUGAACUGUGGGUCCCGGACUUAGAUCUACUAACAGCUACUUCUGUGACCCUGGACAACUUUUUAACCUUGCCUCCUCCUCCUUACAAUGCAAAUCACAACGAGUGUGGUGCACUUGUUUAUUACAGGCAAGGAGUUUUAAAGGUAUACCAUGGAUGCUUAAGCACAGUUCUGAGGCAGCAGCAAUUAGAGGCAUCCAAAUUGGUGAUACUUAAACGACCCUAGUCCACAGAUGUCUCCUGUCACCCUCAAGAACCAUCCGUCAUCUUCGGCAGCUAUCAGUCAUCCUCAGCUGUCACUUGGCAACCUUAACUACCAGCUAUCAUCAUCACCCACUCACUACUUGCCAUUCUCCAAUGCCACCUGUUAACCUCAAUGUUCACCUUUCGCUCCUUUCACUCUUAGCCGGCUUUUCACAAGCCGGUCGAAGUGCGCUUAGGACCUCCCUGCCAUCCCAGAAUAGGGACCCCGUGGGUAACGACAGCCCUGGCGACCCCGGUCCACUCACAGAGGCAGAUGACAGCGUGGCUUGUAGAAGCAAGAUGAGAGAGCGGCUGGUGCCUCGCUGCCCCGGCUCUGGAGCAAAAGCUGUCAAACUGGUCCUAAAGCCACUUCCGGGUCUCUCUAGGAAGCCCGGAGGUUCCCUCAUCUCUAUGAUGAGCAAGUGGUUCCUCAGUCUCAAAGGGUGCUGAGGGAGUUCGUGGUUAACCUCCCCCAGUUUUCCAGCAGUGUGUUUCAGAGUCCUCCGAGAGGGUCACUUAGACUUCUUUCUGACUCUGCUUCCAGGCUUCCACCUCUCUGUGUACCCCUAUUAAUGAGCGUAGAACGGAUCGAAGAAGGGGUUUAGCUCAGCCGGCUUCCUUGGAUGGGUGGGCGGGUGAAUGAAUGGAUAGAUAGAUGGGUGAGUAGGUGGAUAGAUAAAAGUGUGGAUGGGUGGGUGGAUGGGUUCGUGGGCGGGUAGGAAGAUUGGUGGGUGGAUGGAUGUGUAGGUAAGUAGGUACGCAUGUGAGUAGAUGGGCUGUUGGUGGUGGGGGGUGUAUGGAUAGAUAGAUGGGGGGGGGGGCUGGGGAUUUAGCUCAGUGGUAGAGCGCUUGAUAGGAAGCGCAAGGCCCUGGGUUCGGUCCCCAGCUCCGAAAAAAAAGAACCAAAAAAAAAAAAAUGGAUAGAUAGAUGGUGGACAGAUGGAUGAGUAAACGGGUGGAUGGAUGGGUAUGUGGGUGCAUGGAUGGGUCCUGGGUGGAGAAUGGAUGGGCGACAGAUGGAGGUCUGUAAGUAACGGAACAUUCACUCUCCGAGUUUCUUUAAAGAUACUCUGUUUUAUGUGUAUGAGUUUUCUGCCUGCAUGGUAUGCAACCACACGCCUGGUGCCUGAGGAAGUCAGAAGAAGGCCUCAGAAACCCUACAACUGGAGUUGCAGGCCAGUGGUGAGCCUCCACGUAAGUGUGGGAAGCUAGACCUAGGUCCUCUGCAAGAGUGGUUAGUGCGUUUAUCUGCUAAGCCAUCUCUCCAGCCCCAGCUUCUCUUUUCAAAGUGUAUUUUCUCUGAGCUUUGGUAUCUCUAUAUGGAUGUGGAUAUGUUUAGUCGUGUCCCUGAUUUUGCUUUUUCAGCUCCGCAUACUAUGGCCGCUGACUAGGUAACAAGCCAGGACCAACCUUUGUUCCUGAGGAACUCAGAAGCCAUGAGGAGAGGAAGUUAGCUUUCUCCAUUUUAGGAACACCUUAGGCCCUCCCAUUAGGGCUGCGGGGUUAUGGAAAGAAAGCUGUACCAUCUGUGUAAAUAACCCAAGGAGACAUGCACUUUAUAUGGGCCCCUGGAUCAGGGGGUUUUGUUCUGCAAACUGGAAAAAUGAAGAUUUUUGACUUCAAGUGCUUUCCCUGUCAAUGGAACCUGGUCCCAUAUUCAGACUCAGACGGACUCACAGGAAUUCUGGCAUUGACUGCUUGGUUUUCUUCGGGAAUAUACAUAAAGGUAUACGCAAGGGUAGAUGCAAGUCCCUGGACAUAAAAAUAGGGGCCAGAAGAAGAAAGUUGAGAUGCUGGUGGGACCCUGACUUUCCUGACUGCCCGGUCUUCAGCUUCUGGCUGUAGGCCUCAGAGAGGGAGAUAGGGUUGUAUUGAGUGGUCUGUAGGGACAGCUUUUCUAUGGCUCCUUGAGAUAUGAAAAAGCACUUAGGAAAGAAAAAGACGGAUGCAUGCUCAGAGGCUGGGAGCCCAGCUACGUACUCUUGAGACCAGCAGCCGUGGAAGAAGGGGCCCCCGAGAAUUCGAUACAGGAGAUUGUUUUCCUGUGAGCAAUCCCAGGAUCCUCUGGGGGAUGCCCACAUUUCCUGUACGGGUAAACAUGAAGAGUGCUAUAUUAAAUGUUAAUAUUCUUUUGUCCCCCGAGGACUCUUAAAGUAUAAACAUUUACAUCUGAAAAGAAAAUUACAGACUUUGUAAUUGCUCCCCGAGUUCUCACUGCUGGUUAGUGGAUUUUUUAUUAUUUAUUUAUUUAUUUUGUAAAAGCCCAGAUAAAGAAAUCUAAGGUAGAGGUGACCAGAGAAAGAGUCAACAAUGGAGAAAAAGAGGAUAGGAGUUAGACUCUAGAUCAAGGGUAAAGAGACUGGAUCUGCCAGGUUGCUGUUGAGGCAAAUCUGGGUUACGGUGCAGUUCAGAAAGAUCGCAUUUCCGGCAGGCUUCCUUAGAGCUUCGUCGCACUUGGCGUGUUGAGAAUCUUGUACACAUCCAUUAGGUGGGCGGAUUCUCGCGAGCCCUCAGGUUAAAGUUCUGGGAUAGCGAGCGAACAGAAGCCGACCCCAGGGAACGCCCUAAAUAUUAAUAGGCCGAUCUUUAGAAGUCCAGAAAGGGUUGAUCAGCCGCAUGUGUUUCCAGAACGUAUUGGGGGAUGUUCCACGAUAUCUCCCAAACCUUAGCGGUUUCAUGCAGGUGUACUUUUCCCUCUCAUCAGCACCAAAUUCAGCCUGCGGGGAAAGGAGAGAGUGGUCUCUCUCUGCGAGUCACAUACUCAAUCAAGGACAGGAGCUUUCUCCACCUGAUGUGCUAUCCUUUUCCACACACAGGGCCUCCAGAGUCACUGAGGCAGGGCAAGUACAAUCCUGGCUCUCCCCAAUAAUCCUAUUUAAAAGUCUGGAAACCGUCCAGCCUCUCCCCUGCUCUUAGGCCAGUUUUAAAUUUUGUGAAGCACAUAACACACAUGUCAUGUUUCUGCCUGUAGCUGUUCAAAGCUCUAAGCAGGUCGGAUGUUCCUGUGACCCAGCUUAGAUCAAACAAACCCUUUACUGGAGUCUGCUGUGGCAAGGCAGUGCUGGAAGAAGGGCCGGGGUGAGCAGCGUGAGUGUGAAUGACCACUGCAAACUGGGGCAGUUUCUAAAGGAAUCAUUGUGCAGACCAGAGAGAUGCAUCCGCAGGGAAAUGAGUCCCUGGGUUCGAUUCCUGUGACAGAGAACAAACUCCCAAAAGUUGUCCUCCGUGCAGAUAUCCAUGCAUGCUUUGUAAUACAUGUGUACCUGCACCCACAUGACGACAGCAACACAACAACAACAUACAAAAGAGAUCCAUGUAGGCUUGGUCAACACCUCAAAAUCUCAGUGAGAUUCUGGUUCAGUGAGAGAUCCUGUCUCAAGUCAGCAAGCCCAUACCCACACACUCACAUGCAUGCACUAUGGACGUGCAUGCAUGAGUGCACGGGCACGCACGUGCAUGUGCACACACACAUGAAUAAAAAAGAUAAACCUCCUUAAAAAUAGAACCCUCCCCAAAGCCCCUUGAAAAUCAAUCAAGUUAAGUGAUUUGUUCAGACAUAGAAAUUAUGAAUGACAGAGUUGGGACCUAAAGUCUCAGGCUUCGUCUCCCUGUGCUUGGAGUCCUGUCCUUUCUGCUCUGUCUCUUGGAUGGACGUAUUCCCUCACCAAUUAGAAAAAAAUUAAAAGGGGGGAAACAAAUAGACAAAAGCCAAGAAACAUUUAAAUGGUGGUUAAUGAUUUCAAGAAUUAAUUUGUUUUAGGAAAGAAAAUAAGCAUGCAUUACUUACAGUGUGUUUGAUAAAACGAUUUCCCCAUUACAUAUUAAAGAACUCUCCGAGUAACUUAAUGAAUGUUUAUAUUUCAUUUAUUCAGCAAUUAAGCAUCUUCACAUUCCUUUAUGAGCAUUUAUAGCACUUAUUAAGAAUUAUCAAGCAUCCAAUCUGGGUCAAUGGCUGUUCUUUUCCCUUAAAAAAAACCAAAACUUUGCAAUAUCUUAUUAUUAGAACCGUCGCCUUUCUCAGUACAAAUUAAAUGACGAGUUUAAAUAGCGCUGAUUAAAAACUUCAUAAGAUUAGCUCAGCUCUCAGUACCCCACCAGAGAAGUGUCCUUUGCAGUGGAUGACGGUUAAUAGAGACACUCAUGGAUGGUCAAAGCACAGACAGUAAGUAGGCGUUAAACAGGGACAUCUAUAUCAUCUCUCUCCAAGGCUCAGGGAACAUCACAGAAGGGGCCAGAAAGAUUGUAACAGCCAGAGGUUGGGGAGGGGGGCGUUGGAAAACAGUGUCUUCUGGACCUGACUCAGGAACUCACUACAGCUGUGGUUCCCUGCAGAAGACACGCACUAGAUCAGCACCAUCAACAUUUCAGCAUAGAGAGGGGAGGGGCUCAGGAAGACCCACCCAUCCUUGAGGGACUGCUGAUAGUGGUGGCUGGUGGAAGAGGUGUGACUUCUGUCAGUGAUGUAACCACUGACAAGUUGCUUGGGCAACCACCAACCCAUGCAACCAUGAUACUAAUGUGUGCACACACACAUGCAGGCGUACACACACACACACACACACACACACACACACACACACUCACGAGAAUAGGAGAGCACUUGUUAAGAAGACGGUUCUCACUGGGAGAAAGAGGAGGGGAGAUUAGAGAAGAUAGUACGCUAAAAUGUAUUAUAUUCAUGCAUGAAAAUGUCAACAAGAAAAUAUGAAAUUUUAUGUUUUCCUGAGUUUCCGAGCCAAGAGGUGCCUCAUUUCAUACUGACAGUGAUUGGUUGAGAUGGUCACAUGACACAUGACCGGAUCUUUCAGCGUCAGUAUCACUUCCUAGGGAAUGAGACCACUCGAGCUUUCCGAGUUCUUUGAGGGCACUGCUGAAGCUCAUGCCUGUCACAUCGCUCUUCAGUGCGUUCCGGAAAUGAGGGGCACAGAGGCCAGCUAUGUCACUUAGUCAGUUUCGAAUUGACGAUCAUACAAAUUCAUCCUAUUGCCAGAAAAUCAAAGGAAAACACUUUACUGGAAACUCCUCCUCAUGGAGGAGAGCCCCCUUACUAGCUUGGCUAACCCACGUAGCCUAACUACUAUGUAAGACCAUAUAUAUGUUUAUACAUAUAUUUAUAAUACAAUAUAAUAUAUGCAUAUCAUAUAUAAUUUGCAUUUUUAUUGAAAUAAUUUUAAAGAAAUAAUACAAAGAGCUCCCGUAUAUGUUUCAGUAAAUUCAGUAACUGCUCCUUGUGAGACUAGAGAAUAGUAUUACAACCAAAAUAUUAAUAUUAAUAUAAUCCAGAGAUAUUAAAAUACUUCAUAUUAUAAAUUUUAAGUAUUUACCAUAUAUUUAUACAUAUAUUCACAAUACAUAUUUCAUAAAUAUAAUAUUUAUUUAUAUAUUUUAAUAAACACAUUGUUCAUUUAUAUUAUAUUAUAUUACACAUGACAUUGUAUUACAUGUUAUAUAUAAUAUUUAUUAUAUUGUGUUAAUAUUUAUUAUAAUUUUUAUACUAUAUCAUGUUAUACAUAUUUGUGUGUUUGUUUGUGGCUAUGUGAACAUGAGCGCAGGUGCCCUAGGAGGCCAGAAGAGAAUGUUGCUUCCCCUGGGGCUGCAGUCAUGGUAGCUGUGAGAUGGCUGCUGGGAAAUGAGCUCAAAUCCUCUGUGAGAGCACCAAGCACCCUUGACCGUGAAGUCACCCCUCCAACCCCACAUAUCUUAUCUGCGUUUUCUCUUUGACUUGUAUCCACUGCAGUCUGACCUUGGCACCGAGACAACAGCACAUGCCAAGACAGGGAGAAGUGUUGGAGGGUGUGUUCCUUUCAUCGCCCUGCCGAGUAUCCUUGAUAAAUUGGAGCCUGUGCUGGGUACAUCAUCCUGAAAGCUGGGAUGACGCAGCUGCAAGGCAGACAGUCCCUUCUGAGUGACUGCGGUGAUGGUGUUACGGCAUGGAUUCUAUUGUCUAUUGCAACUGCUGUGUAGCAACUCAAUACAAAUGACGCUUGCACCACAAAGAACAUCCUCUGGGAGCCAUCUUCUGCUCCUAACUGGCUCUCUGGAACCUCCUUUAGAAAAGGAGUCAAGAGCGACUCUUGCCUCGGUGAGAAGGUAUACGGGUACCCACCACCAACACACAUAGGUACACUCUUGGGAAGGCAUGUCUUUAAAUAGUGUCUACAAUGAGUUCUGGGGUGACUGGACCAAGACCACAACCCUUCCACGACUGUGUCUGAGUUCACAUCUUUCCAGACCUUGAGGUUAAGAGUCAGUGCAAAAGGGGGCUGUGUUUUGGUUGUGAAAUGUCUCCCACAGGCUGGUGAUGAAUCUGAAGGGCUGGUCUGAGUUGAUGGUGAUAUUUUGGAAGACUGUGGGACCACGAGGAGGUGAGAUCUAGGUUCAGCCAUAGGCUACUGAGGUGGACCUUUGAGGAAUGCAUUCUACUUCUGGGUCUGGCUUAGCUUCCUUUGCUUUUCGAUCAGUCCCAUGUAGAAGGUCAGAUCUAGAAGCUUCUACCAUACCCCAGGGCCCCAAUGAACUUGGCCCCUUGGGAAAGCUCUAGAGCUAGGAACCAACACCUUUCUCAGAGCUAUCCUACCUGACAGGUACGACCAUUUCCUGCUUGUUCACCAGGAUGCUCUGGUUGUCGUUGAGCGUGAUCCUGAGGUGUACUUAAGCUGCCACCUCCAGCAUCCCACAGAAAAUGCAUGUACACGAAUGUGCCUGCUCUUGAAAGUUGGGCAUGCAUGCCCAGGUGUGGCGAGGAGAGGUGGCGAGGAGAGGCGGGACAGUGGGCACCUGUAACCUCUGCUACACACAAGGAGUCCCACAGUUCUGUGCCCUCUGAGGAUCUUCUCUCCUGUGUCUCCUGAGGCUCCUGGUUUCUUUGGGCACAGAUCCCUGGGUUGUCACGAAGAAAGCAGCAGCUGAGGUGAAAUCCAGUAGCCCAAGUAGGUGGUUUCCCAAACAGAAGGGAGACCAGAGAAAGCCUGGUAGAAGUCGGGGCCCAAAGAGGCAGGACAGAGUCUGGUUUGCAGAGUGGCGAGGUGCCAUGUUUGUGACAGGAAGAAAGAGGAAGCAUUCUUUCAAUGGUAGUACAAGCCACACUGAAUCUGAAGGGGAGGCCUUGUCCUCGUGUCCCGUGUCCGGGGGGAUGGAGGGAGAUGGGAACAGAGGAAGGGGAAACACAAUCCAGAUCCCCGCACCCCACCCUCUUUCCCUGGUAUAUCCUUUAGUUCUCUUCAGGUUACUGGACCAAUUAUCUCAGGCUACUGAACACAAACCCAAAACAGUAAAAGGUGAAAGUCCCAGGUCAGAGAGUUAGCAUAACUUCCGGGUUUACAGAUAGAUAUUGUCUGCUUGCUGGGUUUCAUGUGAUGGGAACAAGCUUUCCUUUUUUCUUUUUUUUUUUUUUAAUCUUUAUUAACUUGAGUAUUUCUUAUUUACAUUUCGAUUGUUAUUCCCCUUCCCGGUUUCCGGGCCAACAUCCCCCUAACUCCUCUCCUUCCCCUUCUAUGUGGGCUUCCCCUCCCCAACCCCCCCCCAUUACCGCCCUCCACGCAACAAUCACGUUCUCUGGGGGUUCAGUCUUGUCAGGACCAAGGGCUUCCCCUUCCACUGGUGCUCUUACUAGGCUAUUCAUUGCUACCUAUGAGGUUGGAGCCCAGGGUCAGUCCAUGUAUAGUCUUUGGGUAGUGGCUUAGUCCCUGGUAGCUCUGGUUGGUUGGCAUUGUUGUUCAUAUGGGGUCUCAAGCCCCUUCAAGCUCUUUCAGUCCUUUCUCUGAUUCCUUCAAUGGGGGUCCCGUUCUCAGUUCAGUGGUUUGCUGCUGGCAUUCGCCUAUGUAUUUGCUGUAUUCUGCCUGUGUCUCUCAGGAGAGAUCUACAUCCGGCUCCUGUCGGCCUGCACUUCUUUGCUUCAUCCAUCUUAUCUAGUUUGGUGGCUGUGUAUGUAUGGGCCACAUGUGGGGCAGGCUUUGAAUGGGUGUUCCUUCUGCCUCUGUUCUAAACUUUGCCUCCUUAUUCCCUGCCAAGGGUAUUCUGGGAACAAGCUUUCCUUAUGAGGAAACCAUUAAUGCUGAUGACCGAGUCACCCCAGAACCCCGCCUUUAAUACCAUCGAGUCGCAUGAGGAUUUCAGCAUCUGAUUUCGGAGGCAACGCGAGUAUUCAGACCACAGCGUCUUCCUCAAGCGAAAGCCUGAUUGCUUCUAGAUGCUCUUACAGAGCAACACCUGCCAACACUUCCUGACAGGGUCGGAGAGGCUCCUUCCACCUGCACAAAUAUUUUCUCUCAUAGGCCAUAUGUUUGGAGGUGGUGGUUUCCAAACAGGCUACUCGAUCAGCUGAGAGAUGUCACAACUCGUCUUAUGAGACUGGUUCGCUUGCAGUAAUGAGCGUGUGUGUAUGUAUGCAUGUAAGUAUGGUGUUUGUAUACACAUGUAUGCAAGUGUAUGCAACCUGUGAACAUGUUCACAGGGGCCGUAGGAGGACAUCAAGUGCUCUGCUCCAUAACCCUCCACCUUAUUCCUUUUUGACAACAUCUUAUACCGAACUGGGAAUUAUGCUAGCAGCUAGGUAUCCUCCUGCCUCAAUCUCCACCUGCCUCCUAUUCAGAUGUAUGUGGCCCACCUGGUCUUUUUCUGUGGCUGCUGAAGAGCUGAGCUCAGGUCUCCAAGCUUGCAUAGGAAGCGCUCUUAACCACCGAGGCAUCUGUCUCGCCCCAUGACUUCCCAUUUCAAACUUCUAAACAUAGAAGAGAUAAAUCAAGAUGAGAAGCACAGACUUUGUAGUCAGAGCUGAGGAGACCUGGAUCCUGGCUGAGAUGAGACAGUGCCUGGACUCCUGACAGACACUCCAUCCACCCAAACUUACACGUGUAGAGCCAGGUAUGGUGGCACAAGUCUGCAAUCCCAGCCCUCGGGAAGAAGAGGCAGGAGGAUUGUCGUGUGUUCGAGGAUAAACAAAAGAUUGUAUUUGUAAAACGUUCACAGGAACGUUUACAGGGGCAGGUUUCUUAGCAGCUCCAAACUGGAAAUACCCAGAAUGGUGAGUGACGAAUAUGGGAGUGUUUUGUGUUCACUUAAUUGGAUACAUUACAGCCACAAAAAGCAGUGAACGGCCGGUGUGUGCUACCACAAGGACGGAUCAUAAAAAACAUCCUCCUCAUGCCUUCAGUAGCCAGUUCAAGAGGCCAGACAUGGAAAAACAACCUGCUGAGUGAUUUCACUUGUAGAAUUUGCCAGAAUAGACAAAUCUCCCAAGAAAGAAAGCACCUGGGUGGUGUCUAGGAGCUGGGGGGCUGGAAGGGGAGCUGAGGGGAGGGGUGACGACUGGUGAGUACAGUAUUCCUUUCCGGGGUGAUGAAAUGCAAUUGUGGUUGCGUAACUUUGUGAUUGGGAGUCACUGAAUUUGAACGAGCAGAAUGAAUAGAUUGCUCAAUAGGCGAAUUAUAUACAUCAAUAAAGCUUCCAUUUAAAAAAAAAA